CCAGCAGCUGCGGUAAUUCCAGCUCCAAUAGCGUAUACUAAAGUUGUUGCAGUUAAAAAGCUCGUAGUUGAAUUUCUGGUUUCGGAACGCGGUCGGCUCCAAGGAGUUUGUACCAGCGGAUCGGAGCCAUCCUCGGGGAGAACAUAUCUGCCAUUAAUUUGGUGGGUAUGGGACCCUCGUCAUUUACUGUGAGCAAAAUAGAGUGUUCAAAGCAGGCUUACGCCGUUGAAUACAUUAGCAUGGAAUAAUAAGAUAGGACCUUGGUCUAUUUUGUUGGUUUGUACUCCAAGGUAAUGAUUAAUAGGGAUAGUUGGGGGUAUUCGUAUUCAAUGGUCAGAGGUGAAAUUCUUGGAUUUAUUGAAGACGAACUACUGCGAAAGCAUUUACCAAGGAUGUUUUCA
This 401-nucleotide ribosomal RNA is filed under the name uncultured eukaryote. Its description in RNAcentral is "SSU rRNA". It matches the Rfam family "Eukaryotic small subunit ribosomal RNA", at positions 567 to 972 of the family's 1831-position model. The record is from RNAcentral.